Molecule: small RNA, 74 nt
Filed under: Salix viminalis (osier)
Lineage: Eukaryota; Viridiplantae; Streptophyta; Magnoliopsida; Malpighiales; Salicaceae
Source: RNAcentral
GCCUCAAAUGAUGAUACAAUCUGAUAUUUACGGUUUGAAAAAGGUGCAUGCAGCAUAAUUGAGUGAAGUGAGAA